This 169-nucleotide ribosomal RNA is filed under the name uncultured sulfate-reducing bacterium. RNAcentral describes it as "partial 16S ribosomal RNA". The record is from RNAcentral.
GAGGCGAGCUGAUCAGCACGCCGCGUGGGUGAUGAAGGCCUUCGGGUUGUAAAGCCCUGUUCGUGUGGGAAGAUCGUGACGGGGGUUAAUACACUUUUGGAGGGAAGGAUACCUUGCCCAAGGAACCCCCGCGUAAUAAUCUCCGUUGCCAGCACCCGACGGGAUAAUA